GACGAACGCUGGCGGCGUGCCUAACACAUGCAAGUCGAACGGGAUCGGGGGCAACUCCGGUUCAGUGGCGGACGGGUGCGUAACACGUGAGGAACAUGACUUUCGGCGGGGGAGUAGCCGGCCCGAACCGGCCGGGUAACGUACCGCCGUACGACCCACCUGGAGACCUCUCCGUUGGGUGGAAAGACAGCAAUGCACCGAAAGAAGUGCCUCCGCGGCCUAUCAGCUAGUUGGUGGGGUAAGUGGCUCACCAAGGCGACGACGGGUAGCUGGUCUGAGAGGAUGGCCAGCCACAUUGGGACGUGAGACA
Molecule: ribosomal RNA, 310 nt
Filed under: uncultured bacterium
Lineage: Bacteria
Description: bacterial SSU rRNA
Rfam family: Bacterial small subunit ribosomal RNA
Source: RNAcentral